UGAACUUUACCACGAAAAGGUCUGUCAUAUAUAACACAGACUUUUCAGGUAGUUCAC
Molecule: microRNA precursor, 57 nt
Filed under: Ciona intestinalis (vase tunicate)
Lineage: Eukaryota; Metazoa; Chordata; Ascidiacea; Phlebobranchia; Cionidae
Description: microRNA cin-mir-1502b precursor
Source: miRBase by way of RNAcentral